GACGAACCGUGCAAACGUUAUUCGGAAUCACUGGGCUUAAAGCGUGCGUAGGCGGCUGAGAAAGUUGGGUGUGAAAUCCCUCGGCUCAACCGAGGAAUUGCGCUCAAAACUACUUGGCUUGAGGGAGUUAGAGGUGAGCGGAACUAAUGGUGGAGCGGUGAAAUGCGUUGAUAUCAUUAGGAACACCGGUGGCGAAAGCGGCUCACUGGGACUCUUCUGACGCUGAGGCACGAAAGCUAGGGGAGCGAACAGG
RNAcentral lists this ribosomal RNA (253 nucleotides) under uncultured bacterium. Its description in RNAcentral is "partial 16S ribosomal RNA". It matches the Rfam family "Bacterial small subunit ribosomal RNA", at positions 524 to 776 of the family's 1533-position model. The record is from RNAcentral.